AGAUGUUAAUCUGUUUAAGAAUAUUUUGAUCGGUAUAUAAACAGUGGCCGUGUACUAAAAGCUGAAACUUCUACAGCUACAAGAUGAAGAAGAGGAAGAUCCAGCGGUUGUGGCCACUGUUUUGGUCCGACAGCAGCGGAAGAUGAGGGACAUUCUAAAGCACUUAACAUUAAAAAA
Molecule: long non-coding RNA, 177 nt
Organism: Sphaeramia orbicularis (orbiculate cardinalfish)
Lineage: Eukaryota; Metazoa; Chordata; Actinopteri; Kurtiformes; Apogonidae
Exons: 2
Source: RefSeq, a predicted model, not a curated record